Molecule: transfer RNA, 87 nt
Filed under: Bacillota bacterium
Lineage: Bacteria; Bacillati; Bacillota
Also listed under: 1 other name
Description: tRNA-Leu
Rfam family: tRNA
About the family: Transfer RNA (tRNA) molecules are approximately 80 nucleotides in length. Their secondary structure includes four short double-helical elements and three loops (D, anti-codon, and T loops).
Source: RNAcentral
GCCCGAGUGUCGGAACUGGCAGACGAGUCGGUCUCAAAAACCGAUACCUGUAAAGGUGUGUGAGUUCGAGUCUCACCUCGGGCACCA